GCUGCGGCUCAACCAUAGUUCGCUUUGGAAACUGUCAAACUUGAGUGCAGAAGGGGAGAGUGGAAUUCCAUGUGUAGCGGUGAAAUGCGUAGAUAUAUGGAGGAACACCGGUGGCGAAAGCGGCUCUCUGGUCUGUAACUGACGCUGAGGCUCGAAAGCGUGGGGAGCGAACAGGAUUAGAUACCCUGGUAGUCCACGCCGUAAACGAUGAGUGCUAGGUGUUGGAUCCUUUCCGGGAUUCAGUGCCGCAGCUAACGCAUUAAGCACUCCGCCUGGGGAGUACGACCGCAAGGUUGAAACUCAAAGGAAUUGACGGGGGCCCGCACAAGCGGUGGAGCAUGUGGUUUAAUUCGAAGCAACGCGAAGAACCUUACCAGGUCUUGACAUCCCGAUGCUAUUUCUAGAGAUAGAAAGUUACUUCGGUACAUCGGUGACAGGUGGUGCAUGGUUGUCGUCAGCUCGUGUCGUGAGAUGUUGGGUUNNNNNNNNNAACGAGCGCAACCCCUAUUGUUAGUUGCCAUCAUUCAGUUGGGCACUCUAGCGAGACUGCCGGUAAUAAACCGGAGGAAGGUGGGGAUGACGUCAAAUCAUCAUGCCCCUUAUGACCUGGGCUACACACGUGCUACAAUGGUUGGUACAACGAGUUGCGAGUCGGUGACGGCAAGCUAAUCUCUUAAAGCCAAUCUCAGUUCGGAUUGUAGGCUGCAACU
This 710-nucleotide ribosomal RNA is filed under the name uncultured bacterium. RNAcentral's name for it is "bacterial SSU rRNA". It matches the Rfam family "Bacterial small subunit ribosomal RNA", at positions 601 to 1312 of the family's 1533-position model. The record is from RNAcentral.